Molecule: long non-coding RNA, 594 nt
Organism: Oreochromis aureus
Lineage: Eukaryota; Metazoa; Chordata; Actinopteri; Cichliformes; Cichlidae
Exons: 5
Source: RefSeq, a predicted model, not a curated record
GUGGAUACAGCAGUGUUACAGAACAGUUCUCCACAGUCACUGUCCACAUGGGUCAGUGGGACCAAGAAGCACUCUGCUAAUGUGUGACUCUGACCAGCAACAUCCAGCAAGACCCAGGCAGCGUUUUCUAUCUCCCUGCUGGAGUUUUUUGUUUGUGACUAGAGAGUCAGAUUUUUGUUGAGCCUCACACUUGCAGAGGUUAAUACACGCUACUGAUCCCUGAUGGGAGAAUCAUCACCUCUGCCAACAAAGAAGCCUGGUGGAUGUUUGUUUGCAGUCUGAUGAUGGGACAUCAUGCUGUGCAUCUUCAAAUCUUUUUGCAGGAUCAGAAAACAAAACCAGGAGGCCUGUAAAUGUUUCUUCUCCAAUUGGAUGAUGAUAAGACUGUGACACGGGAUGCCACCUUUAGUCUUGUGAUGAAGCAAAGCUCAGGAAGAAGUGGGAUUAAAUGGUACCCACAUGUGUGCUGCUGAGAAGGAUGUACAGGGGCACCUGCAGCCAAAUCCAAGCCUCCUCAGCAACUUCAGGUCUGUCAGCGUGCUGAGGUCACAGAAACAAGAAAAGCAGCUUCAGACUUCAGAGUGUUGUUUACAG